UCCACAUGUACAUGCUUAAAUUAUAUUUUUCCAUUUCUAGAGUUAUGUACAACAUUCCCAGAAGAUAUGGAGAAAAACAAUAUUGGGCUGAAAUGGAGCUCGAAAACAAGAGUGAAUUUAGAAAGUGGAGACUUUGUUGAAUUUGACUGUAAAAAUGGAUAUGUGAGAGAUCCAACAUCUUCUGAAUUUAGAGUACAGUGUGUGGAGGGGAAAUUGGCAUAUCCUAAGUGUAAGAAAAGAGAGCCAUGUACAACAUCCCCAGAAGAUAUGGAGAAAAACAAUAUUGGGCUGAAAUGGAGCUUGAAAACACAGCUUAAUUUAGAAAGUGGAAACUUUGUUGAAUUUGACUGUAAAAAUGGAUAUGUGAGGGAUCCAACAUCUUCUGCAUUUAGAGUACAGUGUGUGGAGGGAAAAUUGGCAUAUCCUAAAUGUAAGAGAAGAGGUAAGUGAUCUCCAAGUAAGCUACAAUUCUGGUGAAUCAUCUGACUAAAACAUUUGUUAAAAUUUUUACCAAGAUUUUCUCAGGUUUAAAAAAAUGCAAUGGCACCAUUGUGAUGGGUGCCAUAAAAACAUGUGGGAAAUCAUGGUUCCUGACCCAGACAGCUUGCAAUCUAAAUAGAGAAGACAAAUGGUCGGUUAAAGAGAUACACUGGUUACUUUGUUUGUGAGCUCUAUUACUUGAGCUGGGAUAAUCUCCCUCUGACAUCUGGGUCUCUUUCGGUUACCAACAGAGCAGAAAAGUUUUGUAAGUUUCCUGUCUUACCCAAAUUCUCUGGCCGCCCAGUUCCGGGCAGCUGACUUCCAUUGUGGUCUACACUUCUUUGAUUUUCCUCUUAUGCUGAUUUUUUUUUUAGCUCUUUAAUUCCUUGCUGGAGUUCAUAGCUGCUAACACGUUCCAUAUUGGGGAAAACUUUACUGAUGUUGCAUAGUUCCUUUGAAACCUUCUAUCCACAAGAGUCAAUUUAUUGGUCACCUUAUUUAUCUGUGUAACGGGGCAAUA
RNAcentral lists this long non-coding RNA (1000 nucleotides) under Chrysemys picta bellii (western painted turtle). RNAcentral describes it as "lncRNA (ENSCPBG00000028262.1)". Lineage: Eukaryota; Metazoa; Chordata; Testudines; Emydidae. The record is from RNAcentral.